This 253-nucleotide ribosomal RNA is filed under the name uncultured bacterium. Its description in RNAcentral is "partial 16S ribosomal RNA". It matches the Rfam family "Bacterial small subunit ribosomal RNA", at positions 524 to 776 of the family's 1533-position model. The record is from RNAcentral.
UACGAGGGGGGCGAGCGUUGUUCGGAAUUAUUGGGCGUAAAGGGUGCGUAGGCGGCCUGACAAGUCUGAUGUGAAAUCCCUGGGCUCAACCCAGGGCCUGCAUCGGAAACUGUCGGGCUUGAGUAUGGGAGAGGUGAGUGGAAUUUCCGGUGUAGCGGUGAAAUGCGUAGAUAUCGGAAAGAACACCAACGGCGAAAGCACUCUGCUGGGCCGACACUGACACUGAGAGACGAAAGCUAGGGGAGCGAAUGGG